AACGUAGGAGGCAAGCGUUAUCCGGAUUUACUGGGCGUAAAGCGCGUGCAGGCGGUUCGGCAAGUCGGACGUGAAAGCUCCCGGCUCAACUGGGAGAGGCCGUUCGAGACUACCAGACUAGAGGGCAGUAGAGGGAGGUGGAAUUCCGGGUGUAGCGGUGAAAUGCGUAGAUAUCCGGAGGAACACCAGUGGCGAAAGCGGCCUCCUGGACUGCCCCUGACGCUCAGACGCGAAAGCUAGGGGAGCGAACGGG
This 253-nucleotide ribosomal RNA is filed under the name uncultured bacterium. Its description in RNAcentral is "partial 16S ribosomal RNA". It matches the Rfam family "Bacterial small subunit ribosomal RNA", at positions 524 to 776 of the family's 1533-position model. The record is from RNAcentral.